GAUGAACGCUAGCGAUAGGCUUAACACAUGCAAGUCGAGGGGCAGCAUGAUCUUAGCUUGCUAAGGUCGAUGGCGACCGGCGCACGGGUGCGUAACGCGUAUGCAACUUGCCUUACAGAGGGGGAUAACCCGUUGAAAGACGGACUAAAACCGCAUACACUUGUAUUAUUGCAUGAUAUUACGAGGGAAUAUUUAUAGCUGUAAGAUAGGCAUGCGUCCCAUUAGCUAGUUGGUGAGGUAACGGCUCACCAAGGCAACGAUGGGUAGGGGAACUGAGAGGUUUAUCCCCCACACUGGUACUGAGACACGGACCAGACUCCUACGGGAGGCAGCAGUGAGGAAUAUUGGUCAAUGGGCGAGAGCCUGAACCAGCCAAGUCGCGUGAAGGAAGACAGUCCUAAGGAUUGUAAACUUCUUUUAUACGGGAAUAACGGGCGAUACGAGUAUUGCAUUGAAUGUACCGUAAGAAUAAGCAUCGGCUAACUCCGUGCCAGCAGCCGCGGUAAUACGGAGGAUGCGAGCGUUAUCCGGAUUUAUUGGGUUUAAAGGGUGCGUAGGUUGUUCGGUAAGUCAGCGGUGAAACCUGAGCGCUCAACGUUCAGCCUGCCGUUGAAACUGCCGGGCUUGAGUUCAGUGGCGGCAGGCGGAAUUCGUGGUGUAGCGGUGAAAUGCAUAGAUAUCACGAGGAACUCCGAUUGCGAAGGCAGCUUGCCAUACUGCGACUGACACUGAAGCACGAAGGCGUGGGUAUCAAACAGGAUUAGAUACCCUGGUAGUCCACGCAGUAAACGAUGAUUACUAGGAGUUUGCGAUAUACCGUCAAGCUUCCACAGCGAAAGCGUUAAGUAAUCCACCUGGGGAGUACGCCGGCAACGGUGAAACUCAAAGGAAUUGACGGGGGCCCGCACAAGCGGAGGAACAUGUGGUUUAAUUCGAUGAUACGCGAGGAACCUUACCCGGGCUUGAACUGCGGCGGAACGAUUCAGAGAUGAUGAGGUCCUUC
This 1003-nucleotide ribosomal RNA is filed under the name Porphyromonas gingivalis. RNAcentral describes it as "bacterial SSU rRNA". It matches the Rfam family "Bacterial small subunit ribosomal RNA", at positions 28 to 1020 of the family's 1533-position model. The record is from RNAcentral. Lineage: Bacteria; Pseudomonadati; Bacteroidota; Bacteroidia; Bacteroidales; Porphyromonadaceae.